CUCUCCCCCUCUUCAUCCUCUCUCCCUCUCUUCAUCCUCUCUCUCUCUCUUCAUCCUCUCUCCCUCUCUUCAUCCUCUCUGUCUCUUCAUCCUCUCUCCCUCUCCUCCUCUCCUCCCUUGCUGGUCACAGGUCAUAUCUACCUUUACCUCAGAGCUCUCCAGCACUUAGAACUAGGACAAUUAGGGACUUCAAUGCUGGUUCAGUGUAGCAACCUCGUGAAACAACUCCAAAGUCUUGGCAUGGCCCCUCCUUUGUCCUUGUGUGGAUGAAUUAAGGAGUGAGAUGUCAUUACUUAUAAAGCGAAUUGCUCUUGGAAACCUAAAAAUGUAAUCAACUGUCUUUGCCAUUCCUGAAAACUCUGCUGCUCGUGGUCUGUCAAAAACCUUGCUGUCUGUGAGUUAGUUUUCUGCCUCUCUGCUUUAGGCUGUCUGUCUGUGAGUUAGUUUUCUGUCUCUCUCUCUCUCUCUCUAUCUCUCUCUCUCUCUCUCCCUUUCUCUCUCUCUCUCUCUCUCUCUCUCUCUCUCUCAACAAAACACAAACUCGCUGUAAUGAACCUGCCUGUGGCCAUUCCUCCAUGUGACAUGCUGAAGAUAGAGAGCAGAGAAGGAGAGACAUCCUUGUCUCAGGGUCUUUCCUAGGUGUGUGACAUGGUUAAAAAAGAGAGGUGGAUAGGCUGAAUCUGGGUCGUGUUCAUUAGGGCACACCGUAGCAAAACUUCUUUUUUUUAAUUUUUUUUACUUUCUUGCAACAGAGGUGGAUGGGCUGAAUCUGGGUCGUGUUCAUUUGGCCACAAAGUAGCCAAAUGUUUCUGUUACAAACUACCAGAUACUGGGGUAGCUGUAUGAGUCCACUGUCAAAUGUGACACAUCCUCUUUCUUUUCUUCUUCUUGUUUUUUUCUCUCUCUCCAUCGUUACCCAGAUUCAGAAUUUGGAGGCAAAAGCUAUUUUUUUUUAUUAUCUUGAGCUCUUAAAAUACCAGAAUUGUAUAAAAAAAAUAUAUAUAGAUGAGUAUUUAUACCAAAAGUAUAUUAUGUAAAGGAAAGGGUCCCCUGAGGAGGAGGUCUGAUGGAGGCCUGGCGCAUGCUCUGCAGAUUGUAGGUAGUAGGCCUAGCUAGCCAGGUUGAGCUAGCCUAGCGUUCCGUUGGCUAGCCAGGUUUAGCUAGCCAGGUUUAGCUAGCCUAGCGUCCCGUUGGCUAGCCAAGUUUAGCUAGCCUAGGUUUACUAGCCUAGCGUCCCGUUGGCUAGCCAGGUUUAGCUAGCCUAGCGUCCCGUUGGCUAGCCAGGUUUAGCUAGCCUAGCGUCCCGUUGGCUAGCCUAGCGUCCCGUUGGCUAGCCAGGUUUAGCUAGCCUAGCGUUCCGUUGGCUAGCCAGCUUUAGCUAGCCUAGCGUCCCGUUGGCUAGCCAGGUUUAACUAGCCUAGCGUUCCGUUGGCUAGUCAGCUUUAGCUAGCCUAGCGUCCCGUUGGCUAGCCAGGUUUAGCUAGCCUAGCGUUCCGUUGGCUAGCCAGGUUUAGCUAGCCUAGCGUUCCAUUGGCUAGCCAGGUUUAGCUAGCCUAGCGUCCCGUUGGCUAGCCAGGUUUAGCUAGCCUAGCGUCCCGUUGGCUGGACAGGUUUAGCUAGCCUAGCGUCCCGUUGGCUAGCCAGGUUUAGCUAGAUAGCUAGCCUAGCGUUCCGUUGGCUAGCCAGCUUUAGCUAGCCUAGCGUCCCGUUGGCUAGCCAGGUUGGCCAGCCAGGUUGGCUAGCCAGGUUGGCUAGCCAAGUUGGCUAGAGGCUGUGUGUACAUUACAUUCAUAGGGCCAGUGAAUAGAAUGCAUAUUUUGUUUUUAUAUCAGAGUGUUAAAUCCGUGUAAUAUGUAAUAAACAACUUUACCAAAUGA
Non-coding RNA from Oncorhynchus mykiss (rainbow trout), 1877 nucleotides. The record is from RefSeq and is a predicted model, not a curated record. Lineage: Eukaryota; Metazoa; Chordata; Actinopteri; Salmoniformes; Salmonidae.